GUAACGGCUCACCAAGGCUACGAUGGUUAGCUGGUCUGAGAGGAUGAUCAGCCACACUGGAACUGAAACACGGUCCAGACUCCUACGGGAGGCAGCAGUGAGGAAUUUUGCGCAAUGGGGGAAACCCUGACGCAGCAACGCCGCGUGAGUGAAGAAGGCUUUCGGGUCGUAAAGCUCUGUCAAGUGGGAAAAAAGUCUGAUGAUUAAUAGUUGUCAGAUCUGAUGGUACCACUGGAGGAAGCACCGGCUAACUCCGUGCCAGCAGCCGCGGUAAUACGGAGGGUGCAAGCGUUGUUCGGAAUUACUGGGCGUAAAGGGCGUGCAGGCGGGUUGGUAAGUCAGAUGUGAAAGCCCUGAGCUCAACCCAGGAAGUGCAUUUGAAACUGCCAUCCUUGAGUAUGGGAGAGGAGAGUGGAAUUCCCAAUGUAGAGGUGAAAUUCGUAGAUAUUGGGAGGAACACCCGUGGCGAAGGCGACUCUCUGGACCAAUACUGACGCUGAGACGCGAAAGCGUGGGGAGCAAACAGGAUUAGAUACCCUGGUAGUCCACGCUGUAAACGAUGAGAACUAGGUGUAGCGGGUAUUGACCCCUGCUGUGCCGAAGUUAACGCAUUAAGUUCUCCGCCUGGGGAUACGGCCGCAAGGCUAAAACUCAAAGGAAUUGACGGGGGCCCGCACAAGCGGUGGAGCAUGUGGUUUAAUUCGACGCAACGCGAAGAACCUUACCUGGGUUUGACAUCCUUUGACAGUCCCGGAAACGGGAUCUUUCCGACUUUGUCGGAACAGAGUGACAGGUGCUGCAUGGCUGACGUCAGCUCGUGUCGUGAGAUGUCGAGUUAAGUCCCGCAACGAGCGUAACCCUUGUCUUUAGUUGCCAGUAUUUAGUUAGGCACUCUAAAGAGACUGCCUCGGUUAACGGGGAGGAAGGUGGGGAUGACGUCAAGUCCUCAUGGCCUUUAUACCCAGGGCUACACACGUGCUACAAUGGGCUGUACAAAGGGUAGCUAAUUCGCGAGGAAGCGCUAAUCCCAAAAAGCAGCUCUCAGUUCGGAUUGGAGUCUGCAACUCGACUCCAUGAAGGUGGAAUCGCUAGUAAUCGUGGAUCAGCACGCCACGGUGAAUACGUUCCCGGGCCUUGUACACACCGCCCGUCACACCACGAAAGUCGACUGUACCAGAAGUUGCUGGGCUAACUCCGUUUACGGAGAGGCAGGUACCUAAGGUACGGCCGGUAAUUGGGGUGAAGUCGUAACAAGGUA
Molecule: ribosomal RNA, 1258 nt
Filed under: metagenome
Description: bacterial SSU rRNA
Rfam family: Bacterial small subunit ribosomal RNA
Source: RNAcentral